GAAUGCCAUGACUGUAAGUCACUCUGGGUAAGAGUGUCUGCUAAAUGACCAAAA
Salmo salar (Atlantic salmon) is the source of this 54-nucleotide non-coding RNA. Lineage: Eukaryota; Metazoa; Chordata; Actinopteri; Salmoniformes; Salmonidae. The record is from Rfam.